Non-coding RNA from Ictidomys tridecemlineatus (thirteen-lined ground squirrel), 1056 nucleotides. The record is from RefSeq and is a predicted model, not a curated record. NCBI's taxonomy places the organism in Eukaryota, Metazoa, Chordata, Mammalia, Rodentia, Sciuridae.
CUGCAUUCCACGCUGUUUUGCUGACAGGCUGUGGCACAGGUAUUAGGCCCCCCCACUUGAAGUGCUCAGGCGUAAAACCUCCAGAGAAUCAUUGCCAGGGAUCGAUUCCUAAUAUUUCGUACUCCAAACCAUCUCAGCAUGCAUUGACUUCUGGAAAAUGGAAGCUGCAACCAGGACAUGAUUCAAGAACUAGAUUUACAACAGAACGGAAAGAUAUCACACCCAGAGCAUCACUGGUCCAAUCGGCCAUGUGGGGAAACGGAGACUCAGAGGGAAUGGAUUUGAGUGGUUGGCGCCAAGAAUGAAGAACCCAGCUCUCCUGCUCCCACCUCCCCCUCUAUACAAGGCAUUCUUCCAAAAGGGUUCCUGUAGCCAAGAGCUUGUACCUGGAAUCUUCAUUAAGAACCAGGCGACCCUCUUCUGCCAACACCAUGGGCGAACAGAGAGAGCACCCCCAAGGAAGUUCCACCUGAGGCAGGCAACGUAUCACAGAGCAGCCCGCCACACACGCUGCACGGCCAAACCCAAGGUUUUUCCGGAGAAACCAUCAACAAUUAAAAUAGUCUUCUUCAAUAUCCCCUCUGUUCUGCUCAAGGACAGAAUGCACAGCCUGGCCUCUUUUCUAGGUGCUAGCUCAUCAGUUUAUCUGACACACGCACACCCCUGCCAAAUGCCAACAAGAUUCACUGCUCCCAGAUUCUCCGCUGUUUUUUCCCCAUUUAUCCUCUCUCCCUUCUCUCUUAUAAAUCCUUUUCUUUUGGCCGCAGUCCACUGAGUACUUUCGCUUGCUGAGAGGGCUAACCAUUCUAUCUGACUGAGCCUGAGGGACAGUUCCUAGAAGCCUGGAUUUUCAGUUUUAAAGCUAGACGCUCUCAGGCAAACCAGGACAAGUUGGUCAACUUGUCACUCACACGUGAGGCUACCUAUGUGCAAAGUAACCGUCUCUAAGUCACGAGCUGGAACUCAGUGCCUACAGAGGAGUUUAACAUGGUCUCUUUCGAGGACAUAUAAAUGUCUGAAGCAUUCCAUAUUUAGAAAUAAAAACACAGAAACAUA